Molecule: long non-coding RNA, 2397 nt
Organism: Triticum aestivum (bread wheat)
Lineage: Eukaryota; Viridiplantae; Streptophyta; Magnoliopsida; Poales; Poaceae
Exons: 4
Source: RefSeq, a predicted model, not a curated record
UUCUUGCAAGCUGUGGACGUAUCUCACCUCCCUGUGCCCGUUGCUUUGCUUCACGGCCCUCUCUGUAGCUCACUCAAUCCAGUGGACAUGGUCGACCACGCCAAAGCGCGCCGCUUGCGCCAGUACCCGUGGUGAUCACGCUGGCAUCAUGCAGAUUGCAAGCUCUGGAUUGGUCCGGCCAAUGUGCUCAUCCGCUCCCUCCUUGUCUCGACCUCCAACUUUGUCUAGGAGCUGCCCCGUGAUGCCCUGCGUCGCCCUGUGUCGUUGCCUCGUCGUGGUUCGUAAUAAUUGCGUCGUUGUUUCCAUGCCCAUGGCGUGAACUGCCCCUGCACCUCCAUCGUUGGCUAGUUGAACUCGCCCGUGAUGCUCCAGAGACGUCCCCGCGCCUAUACAAGGAGUGUCCGACCUUCCCCGCACAUCAGCACUCUCUCCCUCUCCUCAUUGUUCACCGGAGUACCUCUCCUUCAUUGUUUCCUCGCCGUUCGUCCACGGUGGUCAUCGGCCUUGGCUUGGGUCCGGCCACCUCAGGCCUCCCCUCGCCUCUCCUCCACGUCCACCGCACUUCCCACACCCCCACGAGCCGCCCCACCACCUUGCCCCCCUCACCGGAGACCCUCCAAGGCUAUGCCCCCACUAACCUGAGCCGCCGCCCCUACCCUCCUCUGGUGCCGCCCUCCCCUCCUCCCCAGGCCUCCUCGGCGCCCGUUUCCCCUCUAAACGGAGUCUGCACUCCAUCCUGCCCUCGCCACCACUCUCGCCCGACCCUAACACCUACCGGAGCCUCUCCAUUGGUCGAAGCCGCCGUCCUCAGCCGCGCCAUGCAUCCCCACUUCCUGCUAUCCCCAGCCUAGACGAAGACCUCCCCUGGACGUGGUGCUCGCCGGCACACCCAUUCAUGCUUUCGCCUUCACCGGAGAUGGCCGGAGCCGGCCGGGUGGUCACUGGCCGCGCCUCUGUCCCGCCCGCCCCUGUUCUUGACGGGGAGGAGGAGGGAGGAAGAAGAAGACAUGGGGAGGAGAUGGAUAAGGUGGCUCCCCCUGUCAGCCGCACAAGCCUGGCCCCGCCACCACCACGUCACAUAGGUCCCUGAGCUUCAACACCUCACAACUUUUCAACCGUAACUCUGAUCGAGCCCCCUCCAAGAGAGAAUCGUCUGGUGUUUCGUUUCCGCGGCUUCACCACACUUCUUCCCGAGUCUCCGUCACCCCCAGGCAAGCCAAAACCACCAUUGGCAUGAUAGCCAUGCAGUAGCAUUGGUUUUCCACUUGAAUCUUUAAUAUCUGUCUGUUUUUCUGCUACUGCUACCGUUGUUUCGAUUAUGCGAUGGAUUUGUGUUUAUUUUCAUGUUAUGUUCAUACGCACCUGGUUAUCAUGUUCUACUUGCUAGUAUUACUUUCAUAUGUUCAUACUUGCUAGUAGUACAUGUUGGAUUGGUCAUGUUCUUCGGUGCAUGACUAUUGUCCGUUACUGAGUAUCGUUGAGAUGUUUGUUUCUUUGUUAUUAGUGGGUUAAGUGCUUACUUGGUAUUGUUCUUGCUAUGUUCUGGCAUGGUAUUUAUUCAUGAUGCUAGUGGUCAUGUUAUGUUCUGAGUAGUAGAUGCUCCUGUGUAGUGUUAUGCUCCUCAGUAUGCCAUGCUCAUUUGGAUAUAUGAUUCCUUGUGGUUAUGCUCGAUGAUUCGUUGCAACUCCAUGCUUAUGUUUAUAUCAUGCUCAUGCAUCGUAAUUGCAUCUUGUUAUUUUCAAAUGACUCAGCUUAUUGCCUUCAAGUUUAACCAGAUUUAAUUGAACUUGAACAACCGUUGGCUGAGUCAUGGCACCACCAUAUCGAGCUAACCAAUGCAACCACAUUUUCCUUUUAUGGGAAGGUCUUAACUGGAUCUAUUGUCAUGCCUCUCGCCGGGGCCUCCAACGAGGGAAGGUUAUGGGCACACGCUACCCUGAUCAGGUCGGGCCUUGAUUGCUAGCUUGUUUGGUGUGGUUUUGUUGUUCGCGAGCUAGGAUAAACGUUCCAGCUAGAGUCCCUGCGGAUUGGAGUCCAUCAUCAUUGGUUGUUCUUCUCCUGCCAGUAGAGGUUCCGCUGCCUCGAGUUGUUAUGCUGCUUCAAUAGAGCAACUGUAGUUGGCGUAGUGUCGCCGUGUUGGUGUUAUUCAUUGUAAUAUCGAAGACCUUGUAUUCAUAUUCCGGUUGUAAUAGAAAGCUGGUUUGCUCUAUGCUAAGCAGUGCCGUAUUCCAGAAGACUUCAUCUCGAUCUCUUGGCUGGAAUACGCGGCAUUCCAUUUUCUCUGAGCAGGGGUGCCAGAAGAGACUACUAAGAAUAAACAACUAGGUUGUCAGAUCCCACACAUAACAAGCAUUUCAAUAACAUAUACACAAUAUGCUCGAUAUGUGCAAAUACAAC